UGAGUUAGAGGUUGCGUUUUUAAUUAGUAACUGUUCAAGUGUUUGAUGGAACAAUUGUUGAGCAAGUGAAAGGUAAAAAUGCCGAAAUAAAUAAUAACCAUUAGUAUUAUUUAUUGGGCCAGUUAUCGAAAGGAACUGGACUGUCACACAUGUGAAGUGCUACCUA
This 166-nucleotide non-coding RNA is filed under the name Staphylococcus arlettae. RNAcentral describes it as "Lysine riboswitch". It matches the Rfam family "Lysine riboswitch aptamer". From Rfam's summary of the family: Riboswitches are metabolite binding domains within certain messenger RNAs that serve as precision sensors for their corresponding targets. Allosteric rearrangement of mRNA structure is mediated by ligand binding, and this results in modulation of gene expression. The record is from RNAcentral. Lineage: Bacteria; Bacillati; Bacillota; Bacilli; Caryophanales; Staphylococcaceae.